AAACAAGGGCUAGAUAAUGUUUUCUUAUUGCAUAAUUGCUGACAUAUCUAUAAGUAAAAAUGAUAUUUUAUAAUUCACCUCUCUUUUACACAAUACAGUAAACAGUCACAUUCCUCUCACUUAGAUUAGUCUAACCACAUCGUUCGAGCACACGAUCACCCCAUUCAAGGCACAAUCUCUCCAAAAUAUUCUUUGUUGUAACCCUAGAUUUCUCUACGUUACCCAAUUAUAUCUUCAUCAUCAUACAUAUCUAUCUCAAAACACAACAUUUUGGGUGGCUGUGAGGUGACUGGGUAAAGGAUUUGGUGUUUCGAGGAUGGUGGUAGAAAGGUGGACAGAAGACAAUGGGCGAUGAUUUUUUGCGUGGGCGGGUGGGUUUGAAAUUAUACUAGUUGGGUCGACGGCUAAUAUAGUUUCCUCUUCGGGUUGAGGUGGAGAGACUAAAGUACCAAUUGUUGGAAGAGGAUUGCCUACGGGAUAGCUGUUCAAGUCUGAAACACGCAAAAUGUGGAAUGGGGAAAGGACUUAGAAGUUUGGAUUCAUUUCAUCAUACCAAAUGCCACCUUGAACUAUGGGAAUACCCAAGCAGGUCAUUAUAUGAUUGCAGUAUAUUCCUUUUUUUUGGCAUGUUUUUGUUGUAACAUAAAUAAUUAAAGUUUUAAAAUUUCAAAUCAAUACCUUUUUAAUUUUCAGUUUUUAUUUUUAAUUUUUAGAAUAAAUACAAAAUUAAAACCAUUAACGUGGGUUUGAUUUUUCACUAAAAGUGAUGAAAAUUUCAUUGUUUGAUGCAACAUAGAAAUGCUUGAAUAUAUUCUCUAUAUAUGUUUAUAUUUUAUUAUUUUGGCAACUUGAUAAAUAGUACUUUUCUCUCUGUGAUCGUGACCAUAGAAG
This 891-nucleotide long non-coding RNA is filed under the name Olea europaea subsp. europaea. The record is from RNAcentral. Lineage: Eukaryota; Viridiplantae; Streptophyta; Magnoliopsida; Lamiales; Oleaceae.